This 429-nucleotide ribosomal RNA is filed under the name Actinomycetes bacterium. Its description in RNAcentral is "Actinobacteria bacterium partial 16S ribosomal RNA". It matches the Rfam family "Bacterial small subunit ribosomal RNA", at positions 355 to 776 of the family's 1533-position model. Lineage: Bacteria; Bacillati; Actinomycetota; Actinomycetes. The record is from RNAcentral.
UAGGGAAUCUUCCGCAAUGGGCGAAAGCCUGACGGAGCAACGCCGCGUGAGUGAUGAAGGUCUUCGGAUCGUAAAACUCUGUUAUUAGGGAAGAACAAAUGUGUAAGUAACUAUGCACGUCUUGACGGUACCUAAUCAGAAAGCCACGGCUAACUACGUGCCAGCAGCCGCGGUAAUACGUAGGUGGCAAGCGUUAUCCGGAAUUAUUGGGCGUAAAGCGCGCGUAGGCGGUUUUUUAAGUCUGAUGUGAAAGCCAACGGCUCAACCGUGGAGAGUAAUUGGAAACUGGAAAACUUGAGUGCAGAAGAGGAAAGUGGAAUUCCAUGUGUAGCGGUGAAAUGCGCAGAGAUAUGGAGGAACACCAGUGGCGAAGGCGACUUUCUGGUCUGUAACUGACGCUGAUGUGCGAGAGCGUGGGGAUCAAACAGG